Molecule: long non-coding RNA, 722 nt
Filed under: Fukomys damarensis (Damara mole-rat)
Lineage: Eukaryota; Metazoa; Chordata; Mammalia; Rodentia; Bathyergidae
Description: lncRNA (ENSFDAG00000031064.1)
Source: RNAcentral
GGGGUACUGGGAAUCAAACUCAGGACCUUGCUCUUGUGAGACAGGUGGCAGAACAACUGAGCUAAAUCCCAGCCAAUUCAGUGUUUUUUAAUUACAGCUCACAAACACACUGAACAAAAGAGGAUUUCCACAGCAGCUUCAGAAAGUGGUGAAAAGCGUGAGACAAGCACAUUCAAAUCAAGAGGGAGAAUUUCUAGGGAGAUUAAUAGGAAUGUUUCUUUUACUGUAAUAAUUUUUUUUAAAAAAUGUAAACACUUACUGUGUAUUUCAUUCACACCUUGUAUAAUGUUCCUUUCCAGAAAAACUCUGUGAAGUAAAUAUUGAUGUCUGUAUUUUACAAAUGAUAAACUUGAGGCCCAGAGAAAUGGAAUAUCCUCCCUUCCCCAGCUCCCUCCUCAUCCUACAGGUUGCAUUACCUCCUAAGGUUUCUGCCUUUCUUGCAUUCCAGCUCCUUGUGAUAAGAGAUACAUGUCAAGCCAGCAUGAGAAAACCAGUCAAAUAACAAUUUUCUUAAAAACUUGUGUGAUGUAUGUUACAUGUCACCACACUUAGGGAUGCUCAGUCACCAGUCAAAACAAUGUUACAAACUAAACUUGGAGGUUAGACAUUACAAACUCCUAAGGUACAUUUAUAGGCCAAUAUGUAUGUUUGCCUUAGAUGGUAUACUACUAAAGGAUAACAAAUGAGAUUUUUCUUCAUGUCAUUUAAUGUCUUGUGAUCAG